UACGGAGGGUGCAAGCGUUGUUCGGAAUUAUUGGGCGUAAAGGGCGCGUAGGCGGUGCGGUAAGUCUUUUGUGAAAUCUCCGGGCUCAACUCGGAGUCUGCAGGAGAAACUGCCGUGCUUGAGUGUGGGAGAGGUGAGUGGAAUUCCCGGUGUAGCGGUGAAAUUCGUAGAUAUGGGGAGGAACACCGGUGGCGAAGGCGGCCAUCUGGACGGAUACUGACGCUGAGACGCGAAAGCGUGGGGAGCAAACAGG
This 253-nucleotide ribosomal RNA is filed under the name uncultured bacterium. RNAcentral describes it as "partial 16S ribosomal RNA". It matches the Rfam family "Bacterial small subunit ribosomal RNA", at positions 524 to 776 of the family's 1533-position model. The record is from RNAcentral.